Molecule: small RNA, 821 nt
Filed under: uncultured Verticillium
Lineage: Eukaryota; Fungi; Ascomycota; Sordariomycetes; Hypocreales
Description: eukaryotic LSU rRNA
Rfam family: Eukaryotic large subunit ribosomal RNA (bases 541-821)
Source: RNAcentral
CUUGGUCAUUUAGAGGAAGUAAAAGUCGUAACAAGGUCUCCGUUGGUGAACCAGCGGAGGGAUCAUUACCGAGUACUAUAACUCAUAACCCUUUGUGAACCUUUAUACCUGUUGCUUCGGCGGCGCGCCUCCCGGGGCGUGCCCGCCGGCAUUAUCAGAAUCUCUGUUCGAACCCGACGAUACAUCUGAGUGUUCUAAGCGGACUGUUAAAACUUUCAACAACGGAUCUCUUGGCUCCAGCAUCGAUGAGGAACGCAGCGAAACGCGAUAUGUAAUGUGAAUUGCAGAAUUCAGUGAAUCAUCGAAUCUUUGAACGCACAUGGCGCCUUCCAGUAUCCUGGGAGGCAUGCCUGUCCGAGCGUCGUUUCAACCCUCGAGCCCCCGUGGCCCGGCGUUGGGGAUCUGCCCAGGCAGUCCCCGAAAACCAGUGGCGGACCCGUUGGGCCCUUCCUUUGCGUAGUAACAUCUGCCUCGCAUCGGGAGCCUGCGGGCUAUCCGGCCUCUAAACCCCCCUCAAGCCCGCUCCGGCGGCACCAAGGUUGACCUCGGAUCAGGUAGGAAUACCCGCUGAACUUAAGCAUAUCAAUAAGCGGAGGAAAAGAAACCAACAGGGAUUGCCUCAGUAACGGCGAGUGAAGCGGCAACAGCUCAAAUUUGAAAUCUGGCUCCUUCGGGGCCCGAGUUGUAAUUUGCAGAGGAUGCUUCGGGUACGGGUUCCUUCCGAGUUCCCUGGAACGGGACGCCAUAGAGGGUGAGAGCCCCGUCUGGUAGGACACCCAGCCCGUGUGAAGCUCCCUCGACGAGUCGAGUUGUUUGGGAAU